AACGAACGCUGGCGGCAUGCCUAACACAUGCAAGUCGAACGAGACCUUCGGGUCUAGUGGCGCACGGGUGCGUAACGCGUGGGAACCUGCCCUUAGGUUCGGAAUAACUCACCGAAAGGGGUGCUAAUACCGGAUAAUGUCUUCGGACCAAAGAUUUAUCGCCUUUGGAUGGGCCCGCGUUGGAUUAGCUAGUUGGUAGGGUAAAAGCCUACCAAGGCGACGAUCCAUAGCUGGUCUGAGAGGAUGAUCAGCCACACUGGGACUGAGACACGGCCCAGACUCCUACGGGAGGCAGCAGUGGGGAAUAUUGGACAAUGAGCGAAAGCCUGAUACAGCAAUGCCGCGUGAGUGAUGAAGGCCUUAGGGUUGUAAAGCUCUUUUACCCGGGAUGAUAAUGACAGUACCGGGAGAAUAAGCUCCGGCUAACUCCGUG
This 433-nucleotide ribosomal RNA is filed under the name uncultured bacterium. Its description in RNAcentral is "partial 16S ribosomal RNA". It matches the Rfam family "Bacterial small subunit ribosomal RNA", at positions 29 to 507 of the family's 1533-position model. The record is from RNAcentral.